RNAcentral lists this ribosomal RNA (508 nucleotides) under uncultured bacterium. RNAcentral's name for it is "bacterial SSU rRNA". It matches the Rfam family "Bacterial small subunit ribosomal RNA", at positions 19 to 518 of the family's 1533-position model. The record is from RNAcentral.
CUGGCUCAGAUUGAACGCUGGCGGCAGGCUUAAUACAUGCAAGUCGAACGGUAGCAGCAGGAAGGCUUGCCCUCUGGCUGACGAGUGGCGGACGGGUGAGUAAUACCUGGGAAACUGCCUACAAGAGGGGGGACAACACCUGGAAACGGGUGCUAAUACCGCAUAAGCCCUGAGGGGAAAAGGAUGGGAAACCAUGCGCUUGUAGAUGUGCCCAGGAGGGAUUAGCUGGUUGGGAGGCAAAGGCUCACCAAGGCGACGAUCUCUAGCUGGUCUGAGAGGAUGAUCAGCCACAUUGGGACUGAGACACGGCCCAAACUCCUACGGGAGGCAGCAGUAGGGAAUAUUGCACAAUGGGGGAAACCCUGAUGCAGCCAUGCCGCGUGUGUGAAGAAAAGGCCUUCGGGUUGUAAAGCACUUUCAGCGGGGAGGAAGGCGCGAGCUCCAACAGGGCCUGGCGUCAGACGUUACCCGCAGAAGAAGCGCCGGCUAACUCCGUGCCAGCAGCGGC